Molecule: ribosomal RNA, 434 nt
Filed under: uncultured Clostridiales Family XIV bacterium
Lineage: Bacteria; Bacillati; Bacillota; Clostridia; Eubacteriales; Clostridiales Family XIV. Incertae Sedis
Description: bacterial SSU rRNA
Rfam family: Bacterial small subunit ribosomal RNA
Source: RNAcentral
ACGGAAGGCAGCAGUGGGGAAUAUUGCACAAUGGGGGAAACCCUGAUGCAGCGACGCCGCGUGAGUGAAGAAGUAUUUCGGUAUGUAAAGCUCUAUCAGCAGGGAAGAUAAUGACGGUACCUGACUAAGAAGCCCCGGCUAACUACGUGCCAGCAGCCGCGGUAAUACGUAGGGGGCAAGCGUUAUCCGGAUUUACUGGGUGUAAAGGGAGCGUAGGUGGCGUGGCAAGUCAGAAGUGAAAGCCCGGGGCUCAACCCCGGGACUGCUUUUGAAACUGUCAUGCUGGAGUGCAGGAGAGGUAAGUGGAAUUCCUAGUGUAGCGGUGAAAUGCGUAGAUAUUAGGAGGAACACCAGUGGCGAAGGCGGCUUACUGGACUGUAACUGACACUGAGGCUCGAAAGCGUGGGGAGCAAACAGGAUUAGAUACCCUGGUA